ACAGAGUUCAUGAUCGGUAGUAGUUCAUAGUAUCUUCUCCUCACAGAAGAAUUUAGUCUAGUAACUUAGCACAUACUGUAGAUUGUAGAAUCUUUGCACUUACAAUAGCCUAUAGAGCUCAAGUCUUUGGUCCUUUUCCUCCCUUCAAAUUUUCUUUGCUUGUAAGUUAUUACCAUAAUCUAUUAUCCUUCUAUUCUGGUCUUGUAGAUGGUCCACUGUUUACUAGUUUGUAGUUACUACUUUGGUUAAUGAUCCUCCUUCUCUCUUAAGCUAUCUCUUGUCUCUCUCUGUAAAGUUUUCGUUUCUGAGUUGCCUUCUGAAAGGGCAUAGUUUGUCCCUUCACCAUCUUUUCGGGUUUUUUACAAAGAAAAGUUGGAAGGGGUUUGGUUAUAAUCUUUUGCUUCUAAGUUCUGACUGCUUUAGUUUUUUAGGGUUAAUCUGUGUCACACAACCUGUUAUCAAGCCCCCAAUGUUUUCCAUUUUAGCCUUUGGUUAAUGCUUCUUUCCAUAGUCUUCACCUGGCUUGUCCUUGAAGGAGAGUGUUGACCAUACUAUGCCAGAAUUGAUGUAAGAUAUUGCUUUAUGCUCUCAUGCUUCUGCUUUGUUGUUUUCAUGCCAUAAACUGCAGUUACUGAAAAUUGCUUCAUUAUGAAUCAGGGAGGCGAAACUGUACCGAGGCUGUUUUGUUCAAAAGAUAUGGUCAUGAUCUUCUUGGAUGCUAGUUAGAGUGCAAUUCCGUUUUACUUCAUGAAGUCUCUCUUAGUGGUUCCUGACUUGUGUUUCUUUCUUUUUGAGUUUCUGUAACUGGUGGAACUUGUAUGGUCUGCUGAAAUAAAUCAUCGAUAUGUUUUAUCUGAAGUAUGAGUUGGUGGAACUUCUGUUACUGUUCACUAAUUUAUAUUUCGUUUUUUUUUUCAAAUCUAUGACAGCAGCAUUUUGAAGUAGUUUUAUAUUUUCUUAUGAAACUCAUACUAUUAGUCUUGUACUUCUCAAUCCCAGUGUGCGACAACUUACAUUGAGAAAUACAAUGACAUACU
This 1037-nucleotide long non-coding RNA is filed under the name Glycine max (soybean). Its description in RNAcentral is "long non-coding RNA (GMAX_LNC004425)". Lineage: Eukaryota; Viridiplantae; Streptophyta; Magnoliopsida; Fabales; Fabaceae. The record is from RNAcentral.